UCCUACGGGAGGCAGCAGUGGGGAAUAUUGCACAAUGGGCGCAAGCCUGAUGCAGCCAUGCCGCGUGUAUGAAGAAGGCCUUCGGGUUGUAAAGUACUUUCAGCGGGGAGGAAGGUGAUGAGGUUAAUAACCGUAUCAAUUGACGUUACCCGCAGAAGAAGCACCGGCUAACUCCGUGCCAGCAGCCGCGGUAAUACGGAGGGUGCAAGCGUUAAUCGGAAUUACUGGGCGUAAAGCGCACGCAGGCGGUCUGACAAGUCAGAUGUGAAAUCCCCGGGCUUAACCUGGGAACUGCAUUUGAAACUGUCAGGCUGGAGUCUUGUAGAGGGGGGUAGAAUUCCAGGUGUAGCGGUGAAAUGCGUAGAGAUCUGGAGGAAUACCGGUGGCGAAGGCGGCCCCCUGGACAAAGACUGACGCUCAGGGCGAAAGCGUGUGGAGCAAACAGGAUUAGAUACCCUGGUAGUCCACGCUGUAAACGAUGUCGACUUGGAGGUUGUUCCCUUGAGGAGUGGCUUCCGGAGCUAACGCGUUAAGUCGACCGCCUGGGGAGUACGGCCGCAAGGUUAAAACUCAAAUGAAUUGACGGA
This 587-nucleotide ribosomal RNA is filed under the name uncultured bacterium. Its description in RNAcentral is "bacterial SSU rRNA". It matches the Rfam family "Bacterial small subunit ribosomal RNA", at positions 337 to 917 of the family's 1533-position model. The record is from RNAcentral.